UAUUAGCAUCAAGAACGCUUAGCGUACCAACCGACUAUUUCGAAGCACGGUGGUUUAGAAUGUGGGUAGCUCUGCCAAAUUUUCGAGCAAUCUG
RNAcentral lists this non-coding RNA (94 nucleotides) under unclassified sequences. RNAcentral's name for it is "SAM-I-IV sequence". It matches the Rfam family "SAM-I/IV (S-adenosyl methionine) riboswitch aptamer". Rfam says of the family: It is found upstream of a number of genes which code for proteins involved in methionine or cysteine biosynthesis. It has been found mostly in the order Actinomycetales. The record is from Rfam by way of RNAcentral.